CCGAGUUUACAACUCCCAAACCCCUGUGAACAUACCUACUUGUUGCCUCGGCGGAUCAGCCCGCGCCCCGUAAAACGGGACGGCCCGCCAGAGGACCCCUAAACUCUGUUUCUAUAGUGGAACUUCUGAGUAAAACCAUAAAGUAAAUCA
This 150-nucleotide unclassified non-coding RNA is filed under the name soil metagenome. RNAcentral describes it as "partial internal transcribed spacer 1". The record is from RNAcentral.